Molecule: microRNA precursor, 201 nt
Filed under: Oryza meridionalis
Lineage: Eukaryota; Viridiplantae; Streptophyta; Magnoliopsida; Poales; Poaceae
Description: MIR812 microRNA precursor family
Rfam family: MIR812 microRNA precursor family
Source: Rfam by way of RNAcentral
AAUAAGUGCACUUUUGUAUUGUUCAUGUUCAAUGUUUAACCGUUUGUCUUAUUAGAAAUUUUUUUAUGAUUAGUAUUGUUUUAUUAUUAGAUGAUAAAACAUGAAUAAUAUUUUAUGUGUGACUAAUUUUUUAUAAUUUUUAUAAUUUUUUAAAAUAAAACUAGCUGGGUGGCCUGCGCAAUUGCGCGGCUAGCACCCAAA